Molecule: ribosomal RNA, 794 nt
Filed under: uncultured bacterium
Lineage: Bacteria
Description: bacterial SSU rRNA
Rfam family: Bacterial small subunit ribosomal RNA
Source: RNAcentral
AGUGCGCACGGGUGAGUAACGCGUAAGUAAUCUACCCCUGUAUUCGGAAUAACCCACCGAAAGGUGAGCUAAUACGGGAUACGUUUAUCUUGAUGCGAAUGAUGAUAAAGAAAGGUGGCCUCUUCAUGAAAGCUACUGUACAGGGACGAGCUUGCGUACCAUUAGCUAGUUGGUAGGGUAAUGGCCUACCAAGGCGACGAUGGUUAGCGGGUCUGAGAGGAUGAUCCGCCACACUGGAACUGGAACACGGACCAGACUCCUACGGGAGGCAGCAGUGAGGAAUAUUGCGCAAUGGGGGCAACCCUGACGCAGCGACGCCGCGUGGAUGAUGAAGGCCCUUGGGUCGUAAAAUCCUGUCAGAUGGAAAGAAAUGUAUAGCAGCUAAUAUCUGUUAUAUUUGACGGUACCAUCAAAGGAAGCACCGGCUAACUCCGUGCCAGCAGCCGCGGUAAUACGGAGGGUGCAAGCGUUGUUCGGAAUUACUGGGCGUAAAGCGCGCGUAGGCGGUUUGCUAAGUCAGAUGUGAAAGCCCUCGGCUUAACCGGGGACGUGCAUUUGAAACUGGCAGACUUGAGUACUGGAGGGGGGGGGUGGAAUUCCCGGUGUAGAGGUGAAAUUCGUAGAUAUCGGGAGGAAUACCGGUGGCGAAGGCGACCACCUGGCCAGAUACUGACGCUGAGGUGCGAAAGCGUGGGGAGCAAACAGGAUUAGAUACCCUGGUAGUCCACGCCGUAAACGAUGUCAACUAGGUGUUGGGAUGGUUAAUCGUCUCAUUGCCGCAGCUAACGCAUUAA